AUGGUCUUAGCUUGCUAAGGCUGAUGGCGACCGGCGCACGGGUGAGUAACACGUAUCCAACCUGCCGUCUACUCUUGGCCAGCCUUCUGAAAGGAAGAUUAAUCCAGGAUGGGAUCAUGAGUUCACAUGUCCGCAUGAUUAAAGGUAUUUUCCGGUAGACGAUGGGGAUGCGUUCCAUUAGAUAGUAGGCGGGGUAACGGCCCACCUAGUCAACGAUGGAUAGGGGUUCUGAGAGGAAGGUCCCCCACAUUGGAACUGAGACACGGUCCAAACUCCUACGGGAGGCAGCAGUGAGGAAUAUUGGUCAAUGGGCGAUGGCCUGAACCAGCCAAGUAGCGUGAAGGAUGACUGCCCUAUGGGUUGUAAACUUCUUUUAUAAAGGAAUAAAGUCGGGUAUGCAUACCCGUUUGCAUGUACUUUAUGAAUAAGGAUCGGCUAACUCCGUGCCAGCAGCCGCGGUAAUACGGGGGAUCCGAGCGUUAUCCGGAUUUAUUGGGUUUAAAGGGAGCGUAGAUGGAUGUUUAAGUCAGUUGUGAAAGUUUGCGGCUCAACCGUAAAAUUGCAGUUGAUACUGGAUGUCUUGAGUGCAGUUGAGGCAGGCGGAAUUCGUGGUGUAGCGGUGAAAUGCUUAGAUAUCACGAAGAACUCCGAUUGCGAAGGCAGCCUGCUAAGCUGCAACUGACAUUGAG
Molecule: ribosomal RNA, 689 nt
Filed under: uncultured Bacteroidales bacterium
Lineage: Bacteria; Pseudomonadati; Bacteroidota; Bacteroidia; Bacteroidales
Description: bacterial SSU rRNA
Rfam family: Bacterial small subunit ribosomal RNA
Source: RNAcentral